RNAcentral lists this ribosomal RNA (2079 nucleotides) under Perforafilum tunnelli PZ1. RNAcentral's name for it is "bacterial SSU rRNA". The stretch from base 13 to 1499 matches the Rfam family "Bacterial small subunit ribosomal RNA". The record is from RNAcentral. Lineage: Bacteria; Bacillati; Cyanobacteriota; Cyanophyceae; Oscillatoriales; Laspinemataceae.
CCCAAUGUGGAAUUCGCCCUUAGUUGAUCCUGGCUCAGGAUGAACGCUGGCGGUCUGCCUAACACAUGCAAGUCGAACGGGAACCUUCGGGUUCUAGUGGCGGACGGGUGAGUAACACGUGAGAAUCUGCCUCCAGGACGGGGAUAACAGAGGGAAACCUCUGCUAAUACCCGAUGUGCCGAAAGGUGAAAGUAAUUCGCCUGAAGAUGAGCUCGCGUCCGAUUAGCUAGUUGGUGGGGUAAGAGCCUACCAAGGCGGCGAUCGGUAGCUGGUCUGAGAGGAUGAGCAGCCACACUGGGACUGAGACACGGCCCAGACUCCUACGGGAGGCAGCAGUGGGGAAUUUUCCGCAAUGGGCGAAAGCCUGACGGAGCAAGACCGCGUGGGGGAAGAAGGCUCUUGGGUUGUCAACCCCUUUUCUCAGGGAAGAAGUUCUGACGGUACCUGAGGAAUAAGCAUCGGCUAACUCCGUGCCAGCAGCCGCGGUAAGACGGAGGAUGCAAGCGUUAUCCGGAAUUAUUGGGCGUAAAGCGUCCGUAGGUGGCUUUUCAAGUCGGCGGUCAAAGACCGGGGCUUAACUCCGGAAAGGCCCGUGGAAACUGAAAGGCUAGAGAAAGGUAGGGGUAGGGGGAAUUCCCGGUGUAGCGGUGAAAUGCGUAGAGAUCGGGAAGAACACCGGUGGCGAAAGCGCCCUACUGGACCUUAUCUGACACUGAGGGACGAAAGCUAGGGGAGCGAAAGGGAUUAGAUACCCCUGUAGUCCUAGCCGUAAACGAUGGAUACUAGGUGUGGCUCGUAUCGACCCGAGCCGUGCCGGAGCUAACGCGUUAAGUAUCCCGCCUGGGGAGUACGCACGCAAGUGUGAAACUCAAAGGAAUUGACGGGGGCCCGCACAAGCGGUGGAGUAUGUGGUUUAAUUCGAUGCAACGCGAAGAACCUUACCAGGGCUUGACAUGUGGCGAACCCCGGGGAAACCUGGGGGUGCCUUCGGGAGCGCCGACACAGGUGGUGCAUGGCUGUCGUCAGCUCGUGUCGUGAGAUGUUGGGUUAAGUCCCGCAACGAGCGCAACCCUCGUCCUUAGUUGCCAUCAUUAAGUUGGGCACUUUAGGGAGACUGCCGGUGACAAACCGGAGGAAGGUGGGGAUGACGUCAAGUCAUCAUGCCCCUUACGUCCUGGGCUACACACGUACUACAAUGGGUAGGACAGAGGGCAGCAAGUACGCGAGUGCAAGCUAAUCCCUUAAACCUAUCCUCAGUUCAGAUUGAAGCUUGCAACUCAGCUUCAUGAAGGAGGAAUCGCUAGUAAUCGCAGGUCAGCAUACUGCGGUGAAUACGUUCCCGGGCCUUGUACACACCGCCCGUCACACCAUGGAAGUUGGCCAUGCCCGAAGUCAUUACCCUAACCGCAAGGAGGGGGAUGCCGAAGGCAGGGCUGAUGACUGGGGUGAAGUCGUAACAAGGUAGCCGUACCGGAAGGUGUGGCUGGAUCACCUCCUUAACAGGGAGACCCACUUUCGUUGUUCAGCGACAUCUCAACAAGUAUAGUCGCGGGAACGAAAGACAAUCCCAGGUCGGUCGAGUUCAGGAAAUUAAUCAGGCUUUCAAACUAUGAUUCGGUUCGGUAAAUGGGCUAUUAGCUCAGGUGGUUAGAGCGCACCCCUGAUAAGGGUGAGGUCCCUGGUUCGAGUCCAGGAUGGCCCACCUAAACCAACCAAUUCACAAGAGCCAGUCGGACUUGAGUGCGCUCGAGUCCGCCAGCCUUGUGACCUGAAAUAAGGGGGUAUAGCUCAGUUGGUAGAGCGCUGCCUUUGCAAGGCAGAUGUCAGCGGUUCGAGUCCGCUUACCUCCACCAAAACCGCCAAACGGAUAAAGAACUCAGCAACUUUCGGUGCCCAGGCAUUGGAAAGCCUGCUGGAUUCACUGUCCAGCCAGAACCUUGAAAACUGCAUAGAAAUUGAGUCCCUUGGUAAAAACAAUCCCUUGCAAAAGGGGUUGAGAAAAUCAAGUAAAGCUAGGUCAAGCUACAAAGGGCUAACGGUGGAUACCUAGGCACACAGAGAAGGGCGAAUUCCACAGUG